RNAcentral lists this ribosomal RNA (1338 nucleotides) under uncultured bacterium. RNAcentral describes it as "bacterial SSU rRNA". It matches the Rfam family "Bacterial small subunit ribosomal RNA", at positions 28 to 1381 of the family's 1533-position model. The record is from RNAcentral.
GACGAACGCUGGCGGCGUGCUUAACACAUGCAAGUCGAACGGAAAGGCCUUUUCGGAGGUACUCGAGUGGCGAACGGGUGAGUAACACGUGGGUGAUCUGCCCUGCACUCUGGGAUAAGCCUGGGAAACUGGGUCUAAUACCGGAUAGGACCGCACUUUAGUGUGUGUGGUGGAAAGUUUUUUCGGUGUAGGAUGAGCCCGCGGCCUAUCAGCUUGUUGGUGGGGUAAUGGCCUACCAAGGCGGCGACGGGUAGCCGGACUGAGAGGUUGGUCGGCCACAUUGGGACUGAGAUACGGCCCAGACUCCUACGGGAGGCAGCAGUGGGGAAUAUUGCACAAUGGGCGCAAGCCUGAUGCAGCGACGCCGCGUGGGGGAUGACGGCCUUCGGGUUGUAAACUCCUUUCGCCAGGGACGAAGCGUUUUGUGACGGUACCUGGAGAAGAAGCACCGGCUAACUACGUGCCAGCAGCCGCGGUAAUACGUAGGGUGCAAGCGUUGUCCGGAAUUACUGGGCGUAAAGAGCUCGUAGGUGGUUUGUCACGUCGUCUGUGAAAUUCCACAGCUUAACUGUGGGCGUGCAGGCGAUACGGGCUGACUUGAGUACUGUAGGGGUAACUGGAAUUCCUGGUGUAGCGGUGAAAUGCGCAGAUAUCAGGAGGAACACCGAUGGCGAAGGCAGGUUACUGGGCAGUUACUGACGCUGAGGAGCGAAAGCAUGGGUAGCAAACAGGAUUAGAUACCCUGGUAGUCCAUGCCGUAAACGGUGGGCGCUAGGUGUAGGGGCCUUUUGGGGUUUCUGUGCCGUAGCUAACGCAUUAAGCGCCCCGCCUGGGGAGUACGGCCGCAAGGCUAAAACUCAAAGGAAUUGACGGGGGCCCGCACAAGCGGCGGGGCAUGUGGAUUAAUUCGAUGCAACGCGAAGAACCUUACCAAAUCUUGACAUCCUCUGACCCCUCUAGAGAUAGAGUUUUCCCCUUCGGGGGACAGAGUGACAGGUGGUGCAUGGUUGUCGUCAGCUCGUGUCGUGAGAUGUUGGGUUAAGUCCCGCAACGAGCGCAACCCUUAAGCUUAGUUGCCACCAUUAAGUUGGGCACUCUAAGUUGACUGCCGGUGACAAACCGGAGGAAGGUGGGGAUGACGUCAAAUCAUCAUGCCCCUUAUGAUUUGGGCUACACACGUGCUACAAUGGACAAUACAAAGGGCAGCGAAACCGCGAGGUCAAGCAAAUCCCAUAAAGUUGUUCUCAGUUCGGAUUGUAGUCUGCAACUCGACUAUAUGAAGCUGGAAUCGCUAGUAAUCGUAGAUCAGCAUGCUACGGUGAAUACGUUCCCGGGUCU